RNAcentral lists this ribosomal RNA (419 nucleotides) under uncultured bacterium. RNAcentral describes it as "bacterial SSU rRNA". It matches the Rfam family "Bacterial small subunit ribosomal RNA", at positions 355 to 772 of the family's 1533-position model. The record is from RNAcentral.
UAGGGAAUAUUGGUCAAUGGAUGGAAGUCUGAACCAGCCAUGCCGCGUGCAGGAAGAAGGCCUUCUGGGUUGUAAACUGCUUUUGCCAGGGGAUAAAACGACCAUGCGUGGUUAAUUGAAGGUACCUGGUGAAUAAGCCACGGCUAACUACGUGCCAGCAGCCGCGGUAAUACGUAGGUGGCAAGCGUUGUCCGGAUUUAUUGGGUUUAAAGGGUGCGUAGGCGGUCUAUUAAGUCAGUGCUGAAAUACUCCAGCUUAACUGGAGGGGUGGCAUUGAUACUGAUGGACUUGAGUACAGAUGAGGUAGGCGGAAUUGACGGUGUAGCGGUGAAAUGCAUAGAUAUCGUCAAGAACACCGAUAGCGAAGGCAGCUUACUGGGCUGUAACUGACGCUGAUGCACGAAAGUGUGGGGAUCAAA